This 405-nucleotide unclassified non-coding RNA is filed under the name soil metagenome. RNAcentral describes it as "partial contains 5.8S ribosomal RNA, internal transcribed spacer 2, and large subunit ribosomal RNA". The stretch from base 1 to 121 matches the Rfam family "5.8S ribosomal RNA", at positions 35 to 154 of the family's 154-position model. The record is from RNAcentral.
GAUGAAGAACGUAGUGAAAUGCGAUAAGUAAUGUGAAUUGCAGAAUUCAGUGAAUCAUCGAAUCUUUGAACGCACCUUGCGCCCUUUGGACAUUCCGAAGGGCAUGCCUGUUUGAGUAUCAUGAACACCUCAACUCUCACGGCUUGUCCGUGAUGAGCUUGGACUUUGGGGGUCUUGCCGGCCUGUGGUCGGCUCCUCUCAAAUGGAUCAGCUUGCCAGUGUUUGGUGGCAUCACAGGUGUGAUAACUAUCUGCGCUUGUGGUUUUCCAUCAGAUAACCUUCAGUGAUAUGGAGGUUCGCUGGAGCUCACAAAUGUCUCUCCUUAGUGAGGACAGCUCUUUGAACGUUUGAUCUCAAAUCAGGUAGGACUACCCGCUGAACUUAAGCAUAUCAAUAAGCGGAGGA